This 198-nucleotide ribosomal RNA is filed under the name uncultured bacterium. Its description in RNAcentral is "partial 16S ribosomal RNA". It matches the Rfam family "Bacterial small subunit ribosomal RNA", at positions 335 to 525 of the family's 1533-position model. The record is from RNAcentral.
ACUCCUACGGGAGGCAGCAGUGGGGAAUUUUGGACAAUGGGCGAAAGCCUGAUCCAGCAAUGCCGCGUGAGUGAAGAAGGCCUUCGGGUUGUAAAGCUCUUUUGUCAGGGAAGAAACGGUGAAGGCUAAUAUCCUUUGCUAUUGACGGUACCUGAAGAAUAAGCACCGGCUAACUACGUGCCAGCAGCCGCGGUAAUA